UACGUAGGGUGCAAGCGUUGUCCGGAAUUAUUGGGCGUAAAGGGCGCGUAGGCGGCUCGGCACGUCCGUUGUGAAAUCGCCCGGCUCAACUGGGCGGGGUCGGCGGAUACGGCCGAGCUGGAGCAAGCUAGGGGGUAAUGGAAUUCCCGGUGUAGUGGUGGAAUGCGUAGAUAUCGGGAGGAACACCAGUGGCGAAGGCGGUUACCUGGAGCUUUGCUGACGCUGAUGCGCGAAAGCGUGGGGAGCGAUCCGG
Molecule: ribosomal RNA, 253 nt
Filed under: uncultured bacterium
Lineage: Bacteria
Description: partial 16S ribosomal RNA
Rfam family: Bacterial small subunit ribosomal RNA
Source: RNAcentral